Molecule: long non-coding RNA, 1092 nt
Filed under: Fukomys damarensis (Damara mole-rat)
Lineage: Eukaryota; Metazoa; Chordata; Mammalia; Rodentia; Bathyergidae
Description: lncRNA (ENSFDAG00000028930.1)
Source: RNAcentral
GCCUGGGCACUGCCUCUCUGUCCCUGAUUCAAAUGCCAAGCCUGCAGCGGCGAAGUCUGAUUGGCAGAAACUAGGUCACAUGACCAUAUCAGGCUGCAAGGGAAACUGGGAAACCAAGCAUCGGAGGGUUUUUCUUCUCAAGGGAAAGGCACAUCUGCCUCCUGCCUCAUGACUCCUGAGGAAGAGACUCCUCUAAAUAGGACAGAAAAUGCAGAUGCCAGGCAGCCGGGGCAAACAAGAGCAAGCAAAGGCCCCCCAGAGCGGGGUAGUUCUUCCUGUUCCUGGGAGUAUGGUCCAGUCUUCAGGGUGUCUGGCUAUGAGUGAGGAUCCCAGAAACGCAGCCUUGUUUCCCACCGCAGCUUCUCCAAUGCCUCACCUCGGAGCAACACACGGUGAGUUCCAGUGCUGCGGCAUAGAGGCUGGCGGGGGUCAGUGACAGCCUCUACAUCAGCGUAAUAUCACAGAGAAUGGCAGGGAGCCUCCUGCAGGGAGAAGCGGGUGGCCGGCCACAGGGCCUGUCUUUUGUUUAUGAUCACGGGCAGAACAGAUGUGAAGCGGCUUACAAAAAAAUGAGCAACUGCUGAAAACUAAUCCAGGCUUGGGCUGUAAUUCCGAGGCAGCACACCUGCCUAGUGCAUGCAGGCCCUGGAUUCACUGCACAUCACUGCCAGGAAAACAAAACAAAACUACAUUUGCCAAAAUAUUCACAUAGUAAGCUGUCGUGUCCCAGCUCCCCUGCUUGCUGCCUGUGUGAUCUGGGACAUGUUUUAUGUCUUCAAGCUUCAGUUUCCUCAUCUGUAGAAUGGAUGGCAGUGGUACCCACCUGCAUUGAGUUAUUUGUAGAUGUAAGUAAAUUAAUACAAAAGAGUACUUGGCCCAGUGCCUGGCGUGGUGUGUGCAGGCAAAAAAAUCUCAGCAGUCAUCAUCACGGUGAAAUCUCAGUUUUUUGUUUGUUUGUUUGUAAAAAUGUAAUCUAAAGCCUGGUGUGGUGGCGCACACCUGUAAUCCCAGCACUCGGGAGGCUGUGAGUUCGAGACCAACCUGGGCUACAUAGUGAGUUCGAGACCAACCUGGACUACAUAGUGAGUUCCA